RNAcentral lists this ribosomal RNA (440 nucleotides) under uncultured bacterium. RNAcentral describes it as "partial 16S ribosomal RNA". It matches the Rfam family "Bacterial small subunit ribosomal RNA", at positions 338 to 795 of the family's 1533-position model. The record is from RNAcentral.
CCUACGGGAGGCAGCAGUGGGGGAUAUUGCACAAUGGGGGAAACCCUGAUGCAGCGACGCCGCGUGAGUGAAGACGUAUUUCGGUAUGUAAAGCUCUAUCAGCAGUGAAGAAAAUGACAGUACCUGACCAAGAAGCCCCGGCUAACUACGGGCCAGCAGCCGCCGUAAUACGGAGGGGGCAAGGGUUAUCCGGAUUUACUGGGUGUAAAGGGGGAGUAGACGGUUAUGUAAGUUUGGAGUGAAAACCAGGGGCCUAACCGAGGGACUGGCGUGGAAACUGGGUUACUUGAGUACAGUAGGGGUAGGCGGAAUUCCUGGUGUAGCGGUGAAAUGCGUAGAUAUCAGGAGGAACACCGGCGGCGAAGGCGGCCUGCUGGACUGAAACUGACGUUGAGGCUCGAAAGCGUGGGGAGCAAACAGGAUUAGAUACCCCAGUAGUC